ACGCCUUAUAUAUAUAGAUAUUUGCAGUUAAUAAACGUGGUAUCAAAGUCACUGUCUGAUAUUAGCCUUCACGAUAAUUUGGUGUAUGUCCGGUUUACUGUGACAAAUGGAGCCUUCAGAGAGAGAGAUGACCUAGUUUUGGUGCCACGGAUUUAUUAGUUUAGAGUUGUCGGAGAAUCUGUCCGUACUUGAAUUUAUUUGGAUAACAGUUCAUCUAGAUAUCUACUCGGCGGCACGAUAAUCCAAAAGUAUACAGCGCUGUUGAGUUUGCAUUUUUGUGUGCAUUGUUCCAUGAACACCUGGUCCUUGCACUGUCAGAUUUCACAUGCACGUUAGAUCAUUUGACGGUAUGUAUAGUAGUUCUUACAUUUUUGCGUCAAGUCGUGGUAGUAGCAUGAGUCAAGUAGAUUGUAAGCAGGUUAACAUUAUUCCUGGUGGUACUUAUGAUAGGUUGUGUAGUCUGGCUGAAAAGCGACUUCAUAAUAUCGUUCAUCCUAAGAUAGUAUAUUUUGUUGCCGGGAUUCCAGAUAUAUGUUCUUUGGUGCGUAUCAAGAACGAAAAAUAUGAAGAAUCAUAUCUUUAUUUAGAGAAGGAUCAUGUUGCACUUAUACAAGAAGCUAUGUCAGAUGUUGAGAAACGUAUGAAAAAUAUAGGAUGUAAAGUUGUUUUCGCAACUAUAACAACAAUGAGUUUCCAGAAAUGGAACACUCACAGGAAAUUCAUUGGUAAAACUGUCCGCCUGAAAAAUGAGUCUGAUUACGAGAGAAUGCAGGAACAAUUAAAUAUAAUUUUACACUCAGUGAAUACAUAUAUUGUACAGAAGAACUUAGAAAAUGGUGUUGUAACCCCUUUCUUACACGCUUUUGUUCAUAAGAGGUGUAAAAGUAAAAUUCGUUAUAUUUAUUCAAUGUUAGUUGAUGGAGUACAUCCUAC
Mytilus californianus (California mussel) is the source of this 933-nucleotide long non-coding RNA. RefSeq lists it as uncharacterized. Lineage: Eukaryota; Metazoa; Mollusca; Bivalvia; Mytilida; Mytilidae. The transcript is spliced from 3 exons. The record is from RefSeq and is a predicted model, not a curated record.